Podarcis lilfordi (Lilford's wall lizard) is the source of this 68-nucleotide non-coding RNA. The record is from the annotation of a GenBank genome assembly. Lineage: Eukaryota; Metazoa; Chordata; Lepidosauria; Squamata; Lacertidae.
CCAUAGCUCAGUGGUGGAGCAUCUGCUUUGCAUGCAGAAGGUCCCAGGUUGUGUCUCUGGUUAAAGGU